GAAGGCGGCCCCCUGGACAGAUACUGACACUCAGAUGCGAAAGCGUGGGGAGCAAACAGGAUUAGAUACCCUGGUAGUCCACGCCGUAAACGAUGUCUACUUGGAGGUUGUGGCCUUGAGCCGUGGCUUUCGGAGCUAACGCGUUAAGUAGACCGCCUGGGGAGUACGGUCGCAAGAUUAAAACUCAAAUGAAUUGACGGGGGCCCGCGCAAGCGGUGGAGCAUGUGGUUUAAUUCGAUGCAACGCGAAGAACCUUACCUACUCUUGACAUCCAGAGAACUUUCCAGAGAUGGAUUGGUGCCUUCGGGAACUCUGAGGCAGGUGCUGCAUGGCUGUCGUCAGCUCGUGUUGUGAAAUGUUGGGUUAAGUCCCGCAACGAGCGCAACCCUUAUCCUUGUUUGUCAGCGAGUAAUGUCGGGAACUCCAGGGAGACUGCCGGUGAUAAACCGGAGGAAGGUGGGGACGACGUCAAGUCAUCAUGGCCCUUACGAGUAGGGCUACACACGUGCUACAAUGGCGCAUACAGAGGGCAGCCAACUUGCGAGAGUGAGCGAAUCCCAAAAAGUGCGUCGUAGUCCGGAUUGGAGUCUGCAACUCGACUCCAUGAAGUCGGAAUCGCUAGUAAUCGUGGAUCAGAAUGCCACGGUGAAUACGUUCCCGGGCCUUGUACACACCGCCCGUCACACCAUGGGAGUGGGCUGCAAAAGAAGUAGGUAGUUUAACCUUCGGGAGGACGCUUACCACUUUGUGGUUCAUGACUGGGGUGAAGUCGUAACAAGGUAACCGUA
Molecule: ribosomal RNA, 788 nt
Filed under: uncultured bacterium
Lineage: Bacteria
Description: bacterial SSU rRNA
Rfam family: Bacterial small subunit ribosomal RNA
Source: RNAcentral